This 212-nucleotide unclassified non-coding RNA is filed under the name plant metagenome. Its description in RNAcentral is "partial contains small subunit ribosomal RNA, internal transcribed spacer 1, and 5.8S ribosomal RNA". The record is from RNAcentral.
UCUCCGUUGGUGAACCAGCGGAGGGAUCAUUACCGAGUUUACAACUCCCAAACCCCUGUGAACCUACCUUAAUGUUGCCUCGGCGGAUCAGCCCGCGCCCCGUAAAACGGGACGGCCCGCCAGAGGACCCAAACUCUAAUGUUUCUUAUUGUAACUUCUGAGUAAAACAAACAAAUAAAUCAAAACUUUCAACAACGGAUCUCUUGGUUCUG